RNAcentral lists this ribosomal RNA (475 nucleotides) under uncultured organism. RNAcentral describes it as "partial 16S ribosomal RNA". It matches the Rfam family "Bacterial small subunit ribosomal RNA", at positions 335 to 801 of the family's 1533-position model. The record is from RNAcentral.
ACUCCUACGGGAGGCAGCAGUGGGGAAUUUUGGACAAUGGGGGCAACCCUGAUCCAGCAAUGCCGCGUGAGUGAAGAAGGCCUUCGGGUCGUAAAGCUCUUUUGUCAGGGAAGAAACGGUGGUGGCGAAUAACUACUACUAAUGACGGUACCUGAAGAAUAAGCACCGGCUAACUACGUGCCAGCAGCCGCGGUAAUACGUAGGGUGCAAGCGUUAAUCGGAAUUACUGGGCGUAAAGCGUGCGCAGGCGGUUGUGUAAGUCAGAUGUGAAAUCCCCGGGCUCAACCUGGGAAUUGCAUUUGAGACUGCACGGCUAGAGUGUGUCAGAGGGGGGUAGAAUUCCACGUGUAGCAGUGAAAUGCGUAGAUAUGUGGAGGAAUACCGAUGGCGAAGGCAGCCCCCUGGGAUAACACUGACGCUCAUGCACGAAAGCGUGGGGAGCAAACAGGAUUAGAAACCCGUGUAGUCCCAUGAU